This 58-nucleotide transfer RNA is filed under the name Pseudoterranova decipiens sensu lato Antarctica. Its description in RNAcentral is "tRNA-Phe". Lineage: Eukaryota; Metazoa; Nematoda; Chromadorea; Rhabditida; Anisakidae. The record is from RNAcentral.
ACCUUAGUAGUUUAUUUUUUAAAAUAUGACGCUGAAGAAGUCAAGAAUUUUUGAGGUG